RNAcentral lists this ribosomal RNA (1262 nucleotides) under Jesogammarus debilis. Its description in RNAcentral is "partial 28S ribosomal RNA". It matches the Rfam family "Eukaryotic large subunit ribosomal RNA", at positions 115 to 891 of the family's 3401-position model. The record is from RNAcentral. Lineage: Eukaryota; Metazoa; Arthropoda; Malacostraca; Amphipoda; Anisogammaridae.
AACCUCCCGGGCCACCCGGCCUGCGGCGGAAUGUUGCGUUAAGGGAAAGGUCGUAGUUAAACCCUACAGCCACGCGAUCCUAAGUUUGCCACGAAUUGGCAAUCCCAAACCAAAAUGCGGGAUAAACUCCAUGGAGGGUGUCAGACCCGUGUGGACGCGUGUCAAUGCUGUGUGGGCUCGGCCUUUCCCUGAGAGUCGCGUUGCUUGAGCAUGCAGCGCUAAGCAGGUCGUAAACUCGAUCUAAGGCUAAAUAUUUCCACAGGACCGAUAGCAAACAAGUACCGUGAGGGAAAGUUGAAAAGCACUCUGAAGAGAGAGUCAAAAGACCGUGAAACCGCUCAGGGUAUAAGCCCAUGGUGAUUUGGAAGGCGGAACACAUGAUAAGGAGUGCUACUUGGCUUAGUACUGUCCGUCUCGUGCACGCACUUGGGAGGUUAAGUUGUGCAGUACAUCGUAAUGCCGCUGCCGAUCGGGAGUUGGGUUGGGAGUUGCUGGCGGCGCGUGUCAAAGCGUGUCGUCUUCGGCUCUCGCUCUUCUCUUGCGAUCGACCGACCAGGAGGUGCAGAUGCGAGACUGUGUUAUAUGCCCACCACAACACGUUGCGAGGUCACCCACAGGCUCGACUGCCGAUUGCGCAUCCAUUCUCGGGCAGGCUGCGGCAGAGUCGUUACCAGGCAAGGUUCGGCGAUGCAGCUCUGCUCGGAGUGGGUCGGGCGGCGACUGAGUUCUGGUAUGAUCCUCCUGCGACGAGUUGCUUUCUGACCAGAACAGCGCGCCAUGGAUUCACAUCUCGUGUUUCUGUGUGUACAAAGGGAAGGCUGCCUUGUCCCCUUAAGGCGGUUUGUGCCCUCUGCAUGAGCUUAAUCAGCAAGGCCUCCGUCGCGCUGCUGUACCUGUGUGGUGUAAAGUCCAAAGCCAUCGGUCACGUCUCGAAACACGGGCCAAGGAGUAUAGCAUGUGUGCAAGUCUAAGGGUUCCACAAAACCUGCAGGCGAAGUGAAAGCAACUUUGUGGCGGUGAUGUCUAUAUGGCUGACCCGUUAGUGUGAGUCUCAGGACUCGUGCUUAAGCAGAGCUGAUCCGGUCCGAAAGGCUGAUUGCUAAAUGGCUGGCGCAAGCUCCGGGCUCACGUAUAUCGCUGGUCUUCGGGCUGCGAUGUGAGCACCGUGGAGCACUCAUGCUAUGACCCGAAAGAUAGUGAACUAUGCCUUGCGAGGGCGAAGCCCCAGGAAACUGGGGUGGAGGCCCGUAGCCGUUGUGACG